GACUGUCUGUAAAAGCCAACCGACAAAAUGUUAUAAUAUAUUUCUAUUUAUAGCUUAAUUCUUCCACGGGGAAGAUUGGAAGGUACUUCCAAGACAAAGAGGUAAUUAACAUCAAAUACAGAAGAGUCUGCAGAAAGUACAUGCUGUAACAAGAACUCUGCUGAGAUGAGAGUAAAUAAUGCUGCCUACUCUGAAAUAAUAAAAUGAUGAUGAAUCCAGAGCAACCAUCAAAUAUUUAUGGAAAAAAUUCCAUUAAAAUUCUUGAGAAGUAGGACCUCAGUCAGAUCCUUGGAUGCUGAAAAUUGACAAAGAUCUGUUGAAUUCAGUGGUGGUAAGCUGAUUUACCUCAUCAGAAGUGACAGUUUAUAGCAGCAAAAGCUGGAAGACCAUGCUCCCUCUGGAUUUCAUGGGGAAAGAUGCACAGUUUAAGCAACCAGUGAUUUACUGAAACCAGC
RNAcentral lists this long non-coding RNA (455 nucleotides) under Zonotrichia albicollis (white-throated sparrow). Its description in RNAcentral is "lncRNA (ENSZALG00000009892.1)". Lineage: Eukaryota; Metazoa; Chordata; Aves; Passeriformes; Passerellidae. The record is from RNAcentral.